Trachemys scripta elegans is the source of this 1870-nucleotide RNA transcript. It is a transcript of the gene named solute carrier family 25 member 48, with no coding region annotated. NCBI's taxonomy places the organism in Eukaryota, Metazoa, Chordata, Testudines, Emydidae. The record is from RefSeq and is a predicted model, not a curated record. The transcript is spliced from 13 exons.
UCACAGUGGGCUUUGGAGGCACUUUGAGACAGGCUGUGUGAGAGGUUAGAGUCAGAGUUGUUGCAGUUUUAAUACUGCUGAAACAUGUGAAAGACACAAACUCUUACUACAAUCCCUUUGGGACACCCGGGGGUGUUGGAGUCACUUUUCUAUGUCACAGAGUCAAAGAGACACAUUCAAGCAGUCCUCAACAGCACAUGCUGAAGAAAUUGAAUGAGAACUGCAAACUUGCAAGAAACUAUUUGAAUAGGAGUUGUCCUGCAGUUUUAAAACAUGGGCAGUCUUCAGUUAGAAGAUUUUGUAGCUGGUUGGAUAGGAGGAGCUGCAAGUGUAAUUGUGGGGCAUCCUCUGGACACAGUAAAGACUCGUUUACAAGCUGGACAAGGAUAUGGAAAUACACUUAAGUGUAUCCUUACCGUGUACAGAAAUGAAAGUGUUGUCGGAUUCUUUAAAGGAAUGUCUUUCCCAUUGGCCAGCAUUGCUGUCUACAGCUCGGUGACAUUUGGUGUCUUCAGCAAUACUCAAAGGUUUAUUAGCCAGCAGCGCUAUGGAGAUUCUAACCAUGCCCCGGCACUCUCGGACUUGAUCAUUGCCAGCAUGGUAGCAGGGGUUGUCUCGGUAGGAAUUGGUGGGCCUGUGGACCUGAUAAAGAUAAGACUACAGAUGCAGACACAGACAUUUUUUAAAGCAAACAUAAACUUAAAGCACAGGGCAAUUGGGUUUCCCGCAUACAGAGGCCCAAUUCACUGUGUUAGUUCAAUCCUUCGGCAGGAGGGCUUAGCUGGAAUGUACCGAGGUGCCGGAGCAAUGCUUCUGAGGGAUGUUCCUGGGUAUUGCCUAUACUUCAUCCCUUAUACAGUUCUCUGUGGCUGGAUUACUCCCGAGGGAUGCAUAUCUCCUAGUCCCUCUUCUGUGUGGAUGGCAGGAGGUAUAGCAGGAGCAAUUUCCUGGGGGACUGCUACUCCGAUGGAUGUUGUGAAAAGUCGACUUCAAGCUGAUGGGGUUUAUUUAAACAAAUACAAAGGAAUCAUUGAUUGUAUCUCCCAGAGCUACCAUAGUGAGGGCUUAAAAGUCUUUGUUAGGGGCCUCACAGUCAACGCAGUGCGAGGAUUCCCGAUGAGUGCAGCCAUGUUUCUUGGAUAUGAACUUUCACGCAAAGCCCUAAGAGGAGACCAAGCUGCGACCAAUCCUUAACAUCCAGGUGGUCUGGCUUUGAGUCUCAGCCAAAGUAUCGGUUCUGCAGUGGGCUUGAUGCCGAAAUUAGGGAGUGAAGUUCUACGGCUUGGUUAUGGAGAUCAGACUAGAUAAUCAUAAUGGUACCUGCUGGGAUUCAAGUCUAUGGAGACGGACUCUGAAAAGGUUUAAAACCUGUCUUCAAAGUAAUAAAGAAUGAAGGGCUUAAAACAUGUCAUUAUAAUCUGUCAGAAAUGAAGAUAUGAUUUUUUUUUCUACAACUCGGAGUGAAAUGUCAUCUCCCCAAUUUCUUUGAACAUCCAGGCAGAAAACUUUGAAACCUGCGACUGUAGUCUGACUAAUUCAUGUUUAUGCCUUCCCAUUUCUUGGACUGGUUGUGAAUUGUCGUGCUUUGUGGAUGGGUUUAAAAGAAUGAAUGAAACACUGCAAGUUGGUUUCAGCGUGAGGGAUAAGAUUCGUCACGUUCAUCGAUCGCUUUCACUACUGCAGAAAAAAAAGUGCAAAAAUCUCCUGUCCUGUAGAGGACCCUGUCACUCAAAUUCCACUGGGAACAUAGAGAAAUUCUUAACACUCGUCAAAACAACCUUUCAGCAAGUGAACAAGGAGAAAAGCAGGAAAAAAUGACAAAGGAGAAAAAAUGUUAUUUAUUGUAUUUAUUAUCUAAAUAAAACAUGAA